UUCUCAUUAGACAAAUUAGACUAUAUAGAAGUUUGGUGAACUGAACCCAACAUUAACUGGUGCCGAAACCCGGGAUCCGAUACCUGCCCGUCGGGGCGACGGAGGAACAACAGGUCAUUAAACCUGCCGACAGCCCCGCCGACCUUCACAGAGGGGGACCACCUAGGUGUUGAUCCGCGGCCGUCCCGAGGGACAGUGAAGGAUCCCGUCGAACCAGGACCUCACCUGGAGACAGAAAAACGGUAAAAGUUUUCGUUAUCUUUUAGAAAAAAGUAGUGAGUCGUGUGGAAACCACUAAGAAACUGUAUUCGUGGGUUAGAUAAAAAGCGUGUCAGGGAUACGUUGUCUAGGUCUGGGACCUGGUGGGGAAAUCAGGGAUUUCUAGCCAACCUAAACGCUCUCUACGGUCGUGGGUUAGAUUAAAAAUGUGUCAGGGAUACGUUGUCUAGGUCUGGGACCUGGUGGGUAAAUCAGGGAUUUCUAGCCAACCUAAACGACAGUCGUGGGUUAGAUUAAAAACGUGUCAGGGAUACGUUGUCUAGGUCUGGGACCUGGUGGGGAAUCGGGGAUUUCCAACCAACCUAAACGCUGAAAUCUGGGAUUUUCGUGGAGAGACAGUAAAUGGUGGAUUCGAUAGGAUUCACUAUAAACAAGAUAAGAACCUUUUAUUGAAUUAAAGUUAAAAUUAGAAGGGACGUCCCAGGCUCUCCUGAAACCGGGUGACGAAAUCCUGAUAAAGGUCAUCAAAAGGAAGUCCUGGGCGACACUCAAGUGGGAAGGACCGUUCCGAGUACUCAUUACCACCCCAACUGCGGUAAAAAUAGCAGAACGAAGCACCUGGAUACAUCAGUCCCAGUGCAAGAAGUUGACACCAGACGCUGCCCUUGAGUAAGUGGGAAGACGGACGGUAUCAAAACCCUUGUCCGCCGAAGAAACCAACAGACACUCACUCACCAGCCACA
Molecule: long non-coding RNA, 962 nt
Organism: Esox lucius (northern pike)
Lineage: Eukaryota; Metazoa; Chordata; Actinopteri; Esociformes; Esocidae
Exons: 2
Source: RefSeq, a predicted model, not a curated record